AACGAACGCUGGCGGCAUGCCUAAUACAUGCAAGUCGAACGAGAUCUUCGGAUCUAGUGGCGCACGGGUGCGUAACGCGUGGGAAUCUACCCUUGGGUUCGGAAUAACAGUUAGAAAUGACUGCUAAUACCGGAUGAUGACGUAAGUCCAAAGAUUUAUCGCCCAAGGAUGAGCCCGCGUAAGAUUAGCUAGUUGGUGAGGUAAAGGCUCACCAAGGCUACGAUCUUUAGCUGGUCUGAGAGGAUGAUCAGCCACACUGGGACUGAGACACGGCCCAGACUCCUACGGGAGGCAGCAGUAGGGAAUAUUGGACAAUGGGCGCAAGCCUGAUCCAGCCAUGCCGCGUGGGUGAAGAA
RNAcentral lists this ribosomal RNA (356 nucleotides) under uncultured bacterium. RNAcentral describes it as "bacterial SSU rRNA". It matches the Rfam family "Bacterial small subunit ribosomal RNA", at positions 29 to 412 of the family's 1533-position model. The record is from RNAcentral.